AGCAGUGAGGAAUUUUCCGCAAUGGGCGAAAGCCUGACGGAGCAAUGCCGCGUGGAGGACGAAGGCCUGUGGGUUGUAAACUCCUUUUCUCAGAAAAGAAUUUAUGACGGUAUCUGAGGAAUAAGCAUCGGCUAACUCCGUGCCAGCAGCCGCGGUAAUACGGAGGAUGCAAGCGUUAUCCGGAAUGAUUGGGCGUAAAGCGUCUGUAGGUGGGUUGUAAAGUCUUCUGUUAAAAAUCGGGGCUUAACCCAGUUUAAGCAGUGGAAACUUAUAACCUAGAGUACGGUAGGGGCAGAGGGAAUUCCCGGUGUAGCGGUGAAAUGCGUAGAUAUCGGGAAGAACACCGACGGCGAAAGCACUCUGCUGGGCCGAAACUGACACUGAGA
Molecule: ribosomal RNA, 386 nt
Filed under: uncultured bacterium
Lineage: Bacteria
Description: bacterial SSU rRNA
Rfam family: Bacterial small subunit ribosomal RNA
Source: RNAcentral